Molecule: long non-coding RNA, 1490 nt
Organism: Sphaerodactylus townsendi
Lineage: Eukaryota; Metazoa; Chordata; Lepidosauria; Squamata; Sphaerodactylidae
Exons: 2
Source: RefSeq, a predicted model, not a curated record
GCGGCUUUCAGGCGGCUCUGCGGAGGGGGCGCCGGCAGGAGGGCCAGGACCACAUGCCCGGGGUGGGGGCAAGGGGCACCUCAGGCCAAGGGGACGCCUUCGCGCCGGUAGGUUCGGCGGGGGGCGCAGCCCGGACGCCCCGCAGGGAGCAUCGCCGUGCCAGAGGCUCCCCUUCCCGUGCGCUCCUUGACACCGUUGUGGAGGAACCUCCCCCUCCCCUCCGAGGCGUCGAUCUUAAUCCCCACCCCCUCUUCCCCCAAAUCAGAGUGGUCUUCUGCAGUUUGCCAUCGGGGGGGGUCAAGGAGGGGUCGUCCGGCUUCCUUCUCUGGACAGGGAGAGCGGGCGAGGAAAGAAGUCGCGCCGCUGCGCCCCACCCCCCGCGUCUCAAUCCGCUUUGACCGCUGCUGCGAAUUCGCCCCUGCAAAGGCGUGCGGAAAAGGGGCUCGCCCGGCUGGCAGGCUGCGAAUCAAUCAAAGUCUGCCUUCCCCUCUCCGAAGAGAAGCCGCUUGGCGCUUCGGGCUUGGCGAAGAUUGCGGCGCGCCUCCUCUCCAGCCUCUCCCCCAACCUGGCGCCUCUUCCCAAGUUGCUUAGGGGCAUCAUCCGUGCGGGGAUGCACUGGCACAAAGAAAGGUUAUUUAUUCAUCAAGCGCAUCGCCCGGUUUGAAGAAUGAAAGGCGAAGGAAGCAAGGAAGCAAGCGGUGAAUGCAGUAAUUGCAAGAAGGGAUCUUUGCCGCGGGAAGCGACCGGGCAUCCUGGCGGGCAGCGCCAAUGAAAUAUUCAGAAAGGUUGUGAUGUCUGGCCGGGCCGCCGUCGCCACCUCCCGAGCAUCUUGGUUUCCUUGGCUUCCUUUUUUCACUGGUCACGCCAAUAGGCAGAGAAAACACCUGGGCGCUUCCUCCAGGAGGUGAGGGGUGCGCGUGUGUCUGUUUGCCUGCCCCCCCACCCCUGCAGCAGCCAGUGCGGAGAAGAAGGGUCCCCCUUGGAGAGAGUUCUCUCUGCAGCUGCUGCAGAGGGGUUUUGGACAGGGCUGCAGGGCUUGACUUCAUCUCCCGAGAGAGAGACGCAAGCCCUGGCAUCAAACCACGGGGGGGGGGGGGGCAGAGCGAUCAGCAGCUGGCAUCUGGGGGCCCUGUUUUCGUUUGGAAAUGCCAGCCGCCCAAACUUGUUCCAGAAGUUUGAACCUCGCCAGGGAUUUAAAGACUCCUCAACUCUGAAAUGUCUUCUUGCAUCUUUCUCAUCUGAAUGAGGAGGAUGUUUACCUUGGGCCAUCGGCUGCGGUUGGGCCAGAUAAGGUGGGACAGGUUGACGGACAUAACCAGUGACCUUAAGUGGCCAAAGCCGUAAUUGACGCAGCUCUUGACCCAUAGAAGCCACUGUUAACUUCAGCUUAUGACUGCUUAAGUGCCUUGCUAUUAUCACUUCCUUGGGAAAAAAGCGUAAAUGGCAGGCUUAAAACUAUUAGAGAAUAAAGGAUUCUAGUAAAAAGUUCA